This is a long non-coding RNA of Pyrus x bretschneideri (Chinese white pear), 1224 nucleotides long. RefSeq lists it as uncharacterized. The record is from RefSeq and is a predicted model, not a curated record. NCBI's taxonomy places the organism in Eukaryota, Viridiplantae, Streptophyta, Magnoliopsida, Rosales, Rosaceae. The transcript is spliced from 9 exons.
AGUUCAUCCUCUAUGUUAUUUAUUUGAGUCACUAACAAAUGGGUUUAUGUUGUCUGUGAAGAGGGAGAGAAAAUAUAACCAUACCUGUGUCGUUGCUCUUCAAAUUGGUGCAUUAUCAACGAAUGGAUCACGUCAGGUGUCAAACUUAGUGAUGCUUCAAAAAAAUUGGGGAAAAAGUUUGCUACCGGAGCCUCUGUUGUUAAGGUCAUUACAAUUUAUGUAGUUUUGCAAAGAGAAAUUGUUUACAAGCGCAAACAACUGCCAGAUUUUAUUUGAAGUGUGAAUAUGCCUUUAGAACCAUAUAAUUAUGGCGACGUUAAGGCUGCUCUCAUUGAUAGCAAUUGGGAUAUUGAGGCAGCUCAGAAGGAAUUGAGGAGGAGAGGGAAGGUUUUGGCGUCGAAAAAGUCAUCUCGGAUGGCUGCUGAGGGCUUGCUGGCUCUAGCUCAGAAUGAGAACAAGGCUGCUAUUAUUGAACUUAGCUGUGAGACUGACUUUGUUGCUCGAUAUCUUUCAAUACUUUUCUUUGGAGUUGGAGGCUUUUGCUCUGUUGGGUUUUUUUCCAAUAACUCAAAGGGCCGAAAGAGAAUUUCAAGCUCUCUCUCGUUCUCCAUGGUUGCUGACAGAAACAGAUGCUAAAGGGAAUCAGGACAUCAAAACUUGAUUGAUAAUCUGCAAAUCCACAAGGAUUUUGGCAACAUGGGUCGGUCCAAAUCCGAUUAGGGAGGGCUCUCUUAUCAGAAGGGAGCUGUUUUUCUGUACAUUUGAGAGAACCCAGAAGGUAGGAUUUGAUUAUUGUGGACAAGUUAAUAUGCGUCGCAGCUGCUUUGGUGCUUUGGUUGCUGAGAGGAAAAGGAAAUCUGGUUCUGGUUCUGGUUCUGGUUGAUUUGGUCAUGAUCUUGAUGAGAAUAUGCUGGAAAAUAUCAAGGCUUUCUCCUACAAUGAAUUAAGAUCCGUGACGGAUAAUUUUCAUCCGAGUGAUAAGAUAGGUUGAGGCGGUUUUGGAACUGUAUACGAGGCUAAGAAUUGUGGUAAAAGAGUUUAUUGUGGUUAGCUUAGAGGAAAAUGUGAGAUUAGCAAUUUGAAGAGUACUUUCUCCUCAUUUGUUUGCUUUAACAUGUGUAAGUUGUAAUUAUUAUUUUUCUCUUCAUGGCGUACUUAAAUUUGGAGAUCAGCAUAUAUUUGUUUUUGACAUUUCUUAUUAAAUGUAUUUGAAAACUAACUGAA